RNAcentral lists this long non-coding RNA (1627 nucleotides) under Ursus thibetanus thibetanus. Its description in RNAcentral is "lncRNA (ENSUTTG00000010184.1)". Lineage: Eukaryota; Metazoa; Chordata; Mammalia; Carnivora; Ursidae. The record is from RNAcentral.
AUUGCCAGAAUAGAAUCCAGUUUUAGGAUAAAGUUGACACUGAGGAUGGUAAAGCAGGAAGAUGGAAGGAAAUUGAGUCCUUGAAGGUAUUCACUGAAUUACUGGAUCAACUAUACAUCAGGGAUUUAGUUAAGUGAGAAAAGAAAUCCUCUUUUUGUUUAAAGCCAGUUUGCAUUGGGUUUUCUGUUUUUUUUUUUUCCAGCACAAAGUCUUACCUAAUAUGUUCAUAAAUCAAUGGAAAAAACAAUAAAUGGCCAUAUGUAAUCGAGUGCUAGAUAUACUGAAGACAAACCACCAGCAGCAUUAGCAUUACUGGAGAACUUGACAGAAAUGCAAAUUUUCAGCCCCUCACCCCAGGUUAACUGCCUUGGUCUGUCUGGGGGUGGCGCCCAGUAACCUUUGUUUUAACAUGCCUUGCAGGGGACUCUGUUGCUGGCUAAAGUUUGAAAAACUACCCUGGAAGUUUAAAAUGGAAAAGAAGACUUCACAGGGAAGGUGAGAUGAACUAAAUCCAGGAGCAAGAUGGCCUUUUGAAAAGAAGACUUAUGAACCAGAAUGAAUAAAGGCACAGAGGUUCAUUUUCAAUCAUGAAAUGCACUGCUGGCCUUCAGUGUGAGUUGUUUGAAGCUAAAGGAAGAUAUGUAGUCUGACAAACCCUGCCGUGCCUUUGGUUGAAGUAUUUAACAAGAGAUGAGGCCCUGCUACAGCCGACAUACUCACGAGACAACUGACAGGACAGUUCUUGGAGCGGGAAGAGGCGCCAACAGGCCUUGGACCUGGGGCCAAUGGAUCUCUCUACUCAUACAGUCUGGUGCAGAACCCUGGCGUAUUUGAGAAUUCAAAAUCUGAAUCUGGCCCGCAAUGAUGUUAUGAAUGGUACUUUUUAAGGAUUGUCAGGCUGCUCCAGCAUAAGAGCCAGCUGCUGCCCAAGCACGUGGACAAACAUGGGAACACGCUUCAAAUCUUUCACAGGUAUAAUUUUUCACUAUCUGCUAAACACGCUAGUUCACUAUCUGCUAAAAUCUAGCCGUUGAUUAUCUCCUUCCUGUCUGACCCUUUGUUUGAUUCUUUUGCUAUGGUUCCAGAAUUAAAUUUCAGUUGAUACUGUUGUGGUAAAUUUCAUGUCGAACUUUCACUCUCUGUAAUGUUUUCUAUUUUUCACCUUGCCAGACCUAAAUGAAAUUUUUCAUCCUUUUUCUAUUAAAACAGCUGUGACCCUUUCUCUGAAUAUAAAUUUGUUAACUUUGGAGUUGCCAAAUCUUGAAGACAUCUGUAUGUGUCUUUCCAUUUACACUAUUAAUUUGUUUAUAAACAUGUAGUGUGUGUACAGUAGUUCUUUACCAGAGUAUCGGAACUACUAUGCCAGGAUUGGAUUCCUAGUUCUGCCACUUCACUAUCUCUGUGACUUUUGGCAAAUUAGUUUUCUUAUCUGCAUCUCAGUUUUAUAAUCUAUAUUGGGGUUGAUUAUGAUAAUGAUGGAUAGUUACCGAGUUUUGUUACUUGUCAUUUAAAUCCUAUAAUAGGAAAAUAGUACCUACCGCUUUAGGUUGUGGUUAGUAUUAAGUGAGUUAAAUUUAUUGUGAAUAGAAUAAUAUCUGAACAGAAGUGCACAGUAAAUAUUAGGAAU